Molecule: ribosomal RNA, 253 nt
Filed under: Qipengyuania marisflavi
Lineage: Bacteria; Pseudomonadati; Pseudomonadota; Alphaproteobacteria; Sphingomonadales; Erythrobacteraceae
Also listed under: 2 other names
Description: partial 16S ribosomal RNA
Rfam family: Bacterial small subunit ribosomal RNA
Source: RNAcentral
UACGGAGGGAGCUAGCGUUGUUCGGAAUUACUGGGCGUAAAGCGCACGUAGGCGGCGAUUCAAGUCAGAGGUGAAAGCCCGGGGCUCAACCCCGGAACUGCCUUUGAAACUAGAUUGCUAGAAUCCUGGAGAGGUGAGUGGAAUUCCGAGUGUAGAGGUGAAAUUCGUAGAUAUUCGGAAGAACACCAGUGGCGAAGGCGACUCACUGGACAGGUAUUGACGCUGAGGUGCGAAAGCGUGGGGAGCAAACAGG